Molecule: unclassified non-coding RNA, 502 nt
Filed under: uncultured Diversispora
Lineage: Eukaryota; Fungi; Glomeromycota; Glomeromycetes; Diversisporales; Diversisporaceae
Description: SSU rRNA
Rfam family: Eukaryotic small subunit ribosomal RNA
Source: RNAcentral
CCAAUAGCGUAUAUUAAAGUUGUUGCAGUUAAAAAGCUCGUAGUUGAACUUCGGGGUUUACUUAUUGGUCAGGCUUAAUUGUCUGCACUGGUGAGAUGAAUCUCUACCUUCUGAGGAACUUUCAUGCCAUUUAUUUGGUGUGAUUGGAAAUCAGGACUGUUACUUUGAAAAAAUUAGAGUGUUUAAAGCAGGCUAACGUCUGAAUACAUUAGCAUGGAAUAAUGAAAUAGGACGGACUGAUUCUAUUUCGUUGGUUUCUAGGAUCACCGUAAUGAUUAAUAGGGAUAGUUGGGGGCAUUAGUAUUCAAUUGUCAGAGGUGAAAUUCUUUGAUUUAUUGAAGACUAACUACUGCGAAAGCAUUUGCCAAGGAUGUUUUCAUUAAUCAAGAACGAAAGUUAGGGGAUCGAAGACGAUCAGAUACCGUCGUAGUCUUAACCAUAAACUAUGCCGACUAGGGAUCGGACGAAGUUAAUUUUAUAAUGACGCGUUCGGCACCUUACG